CUCUGUUUUUGCAUUGCUUUUGCUUUCACUGAGGAGGCUUAGGGAAGAAUGGUACAAAGCCACUUGUGAGAACGAGCAUUUGGAGAACUUUGCACAGAACAUCUUCCAUGACGUGGGUGAAUAACUUAGAGAUCAUUCUGAUGUUGCUCCAAAGCCUCAUAUUUGCCUAAAGAAACUUAUUCCUGAUCCAAGAUAUGCCACCUAAGCAGUUCUGUUCCUAGAAUCCUGAAGAGGGGUUGACGGUCUUUUCCAAGAGGAAGAGGAGAAAUCACCUGUCAUGUAUCAUUUGGAUACUGGAUACAAGAGUGUCAACAACUCUGAAGACAAGUUCCAAAAAGCCUGGAGGUCAAGAAAGGCUGGAGGAAGAUGAAAGAAAAAAAGAGCUCAAGUGUUGAGAAAAGCACAUACUUUCCCCCAAGAAGAUAAAUACACAAGAGAAUUCAUAGAAAACUAUCAUUCUGGUGGAAAAGUUG
Non-coding RNA from Phascolarctos cinereus (koala), 473 nucleotides. The record is from RefSeq and is a predicted model, not a curated record. Lineage: Eukaryota; Metazoa; Chordata; Mammalia; Diprotodontia; Phascolarctidae.